CUAUUAAAGUGUCUGAGUUGCAAUUAGAUGAUGUGGGCGCAGCUUGCAGGUCUUC
RNAcentral lists this transfer RNA (55 nucleotides) under Cnemaspis nuicamensis. RNAcentral describes it as "partial tRNA-Ala". The record is from RNAcentral. Lineage: Eukaryota; Metazoa; Chordata; Lepidosauria; Squamata; Gekkonidae.